RNAcentral lists this ribosomal RNA (429 nucleotides) under Gemmatimonadota bacterium. Its description in RNAcentral is "Gemmatimonadetes bacterium partial 16S ribosomal RNA". It matches the Rfam family "Bacterial small subunit ribosomal RNA", at positions 355 to 776 of the family's 1533-position model. The record is from RNAcentral. Lineage: Bacteria; Pseudomonadati; Gemmatimonadota.
UAGGGAAUCUUCGGCAAUGGACGAAAGUCUGACCGAGCAACGCCGCGUGAGUGAAGAAGGUUUUCGGAUCGUAAAACUCUGUUGUUAGAGAAGAACAAGGACGUUAGUAACUGAACGUCCCCUGACGGUAUCUAACCAGAAAGCCACGGCUAACUACGUGCCAGCAGCCGCGGUAAUACGUAGGUGGCAAGCGUUGUCCGGAUUUAUUGGGCGUAAAGCGAGCGCAGGCGGUUUCUUAAGUCUGAUGUGAAAGCCCCCGGCUCAACCGGGGAGGGUCAUUGGAAACUGGGAGACUGGAGUGCAGAAGAGGAGAGAGGAAUUCCAGGUGUAGCGGUGAAAUGCGUAGAUAUAUGGAGGAACACCAGUGGCGAAGGCGGCUCUCUGGUCUGUAACUGACGCUGAGGCUCGAAAGCGUGGGGAGCAAACAGG